GGUUCUAGAAGGGGAUGUGUAAAAUCUUAAGGCUCUAGGGACGCACAGGCUGCUUGAGAUUUGCAGAAGAGGUACUGAUUCCAUCGUAGCCCACCUCUUCACCCCACCCCCACCUCCACCCCACCCCGCAGCAUCCCUUCUACAUCCUGGAAGAUGGGGAAACUUCCUGGAGGGUACCCAGCUGAUUGCUUCUCCAAGCUUCAGGGAUGGUGAGCUAAUGGGAUGAUGUGCCCUACAGCCCUGGAGUAGAACAGUCCUCCAGUACAGAGGCAGAAGUCCCAGGCUGAGGCAUGGCACACCACCUCCCGCCCAUCACUUGGCUUCUCCAGCAUCGACUCUGCCCAGAACUCAGGAGGCAUUGGUGAGAGCCCCAGCGAGGUGAAGAAUUCCUCUGCUACCCGGAACAUGUGUGUAGCAUUCCAGCCCUGGGCAGGAGGCUUCGUUGCUGAGGAUGGUGAAGUCUUCAUAGAGGGGUUUCAGUGGGAUGCCCACAACAUCAUGCCAGCUCUCCCAGGCGAACAGCAGCUUGGCAUAACUUCGUGAGGAAGCCAUAAUGGUGUUGAGCUCUGAGACAGGAGACGGUGUGACCUGGAGACUCGGUGAGAUUGUGCCAGCCUGCCAGGUGACGUGCUAGAGGAGAGACCCCAGAGGACUGACAGAGACGGAGAGAGAAGGUGGCGGGCAAGGGGCCACCUGGUGAGAACUGGGCUUGUGGGAAGAUGGAUGCAGGUCCUUCAUCAGUUGUACAGCACCUCACAGAACCAUCAUGUUUGAAAGGGUGGUCUGGCAUGUGCCAGCAAUCCCAGCACUCAGGAGGCAGACGCAGGAUUGAAAAACAACACCAAAAUAUUAUUAAUAUUGUCAAAAGUAUCCAUGGAUGACCCUCCCCUGCAUGAUGGUGAAAGCAGUGUUGGGGAGCGACCCUAGGACCUCGUGCCCAGUAGGCAAGCACUCUAGCGUUGAGCCCUACUCACUAUUCUCACUACCUCAAAACCAUCUACAGUUACUGGGGUCACAAGCGUCCGAUUGUGCUCUUCUAGCCUAAAGACAGAGCAGCUUGUCCUGACAGCGCCAGCGGGCCAUCGGAUCCCGCGUCCGGGUGCCCGGAGGAUUCCUCCCGCAUUUCUGAACAUGGUCUGGCAGUGCCGAGCCGGCAGCAGCGUGGGGAUGAGGAUGCUGCGCCAAAAGUAGCCAAGGCAGACACUGACAGGUGGUCACGCGCCUGUGCCCGCCUGGAGUAGGGGGUGGGGCAAGUGCGGCUGCGCAGAAGAGCCUCCUUUUGGGACGUCAGGUUGAAACCUCUAUAGCAUGCGUCAGGAAUGGGAGACAGGCUUUCACUCUUCAGAUGCCUAAUUAAUGGGGUGUGUGUACAUGACAUGUAAUGCAUGUGAAAGCUAAGAAACGUGAUAGAAAUGUAACACACACCACACUACCAUACAUCCGUCCAUCUUUCCCAUCCUUCAUUUCGAGCGCCCCCCCACUACCGUGCCAUGUGUGCGCACAUGCGUGAGCGCGCAUGCGUGUGCGCAUGUGUGUGUCGUGGAGUCGGUUCUUUCCUGCCGUCUUUAUGUAGGGUCCCGGGAUGAAACUCCGGUCCUUGCGUUUGUAUGGGAAGCUUUUUUUUUCCAAGCCGAACUAUUUCACCUGCCGCUGAACGCUUCUAUUCCCGGUGCCAGAGUAGCGCUGAGUGGAAACAGCCCAAAGUGCUGGGCAUGGACCCCAGGGCCUUGUAUAUGCUAAGCAGGUGAACAGGGACAGGAUGGCAGCUCCCUAUUGGUCCUGUGGGGCCCUCCCCACUGCCCACCCUCACCCCAGCACCCGGCAUAACAAACUGGCAGGAAUGAAGGUUUACUAAGAAGACACCCCUGUGCCCUUCCCUUGGUGGCCAGAUACUGAACUAGAUCCCGGGGAACUGGAGUCCUCCUGGGAGCCCCAUAUCGGCCGAAGCCUGGUGCCAGCCGGAGGGCAGAGCUCACCUCUUCACAAGAUUCCACACGGCACGGUUCUGUCCGAAGACCUUGCAGGAGAGGCUGGAGGGGUCACACUGAAUAAAUCUUUUUUCUGUUCUUCAUCGUUCACCACCCUCCCGCUGUGUGUGGGGGGGGAUGGUGGUGGUGGUGUGGCGUGGUGUGGAGUGGUGUGGCGUGGUGUGGUGUGGUGUGGCGUGGUGUGGCGUGGCGUGGCGUGGUGUGUGCAUGUGGAAGCCAGAGGUCAACACCAGGUGUCUUUUCUCAAUGGUGUUUAACUGGAAGCUGAGCCUCCUGUUUUGCCUCUGGUGAUGGAAUUCCAAGUGAGCCACAGCUGUGCCUGGCUUGCUUUCAUUUGCCUGCCUGCUUCCCUCCUUCCCUUCCCUUUCCUUCUUUCC
Non-coding RNA from Peromyscus maniculatus bairdii (prairie deer mouse), 2365 nucleotides. The record is from RefSeq and is a predicted model, not a curated record. Lineage: Eukaryota; Metazoa; Chordata; Mammalia; Rodentia; Cricetidae.